UCCUCUCCACACGUGUGGUUGGACUUUGGGAGGAGUAACUCCACCUUGCCCUGGCACCGGAACCCCCAGAAGGGGGCUGGGAAGCUACGAGGAAGGCGAAUGUCCUCGUUUGAGCGUGUUACGGCUCGUGACGUGGUGCAGGUCACUCUCCUUGAGUUCGGGCAGGUUGGCGUGUCGUCGGCCGGCCGUAAAGGUUCUUUACUUGUAGAUGUGAAUGCGCAAAGGUGCCCCGCUGCGCCCUCAGGCUCGGUUUCCAGACCUACCUUUACUCGAGCAGUUAGUUGAGGAAGAAAAUAACGUAAAAUGUUUAGACCUCACUUUUGGAACAAAAGCCGGCCUCAGGGCUCAGCACGAGGGGGCUCCCUGUCCGGGUGGCUCAGGGGAGUCUCGGCAGAGAUGGGCUUCGCCGCGGAGCUCAAACCCCUCGAGCUAUCCCGUGACUCGGGAAGAGUGACUUGGUUUUUCCGUGUGUGCAAGGGGGUGUUCGUUCCCUCCCUGGUGGAGGGGGCUGAAGAGCCUCCACCGAUAUUGUCAGCCUGAGUCCAGCGGGAGAGGUGUCACGUUGACCUGGACAUCACACUUAACACGAAUUGGUAGGCACUUUAUUCGUUGAUUCCAAGUUGAGGACGUAUAAUGGAUGAUGGCAACGGGCCGGUCGGGUCGCCGGUGUCCGGUGUCCGGGUUACAACGUCCCCUCCCUGGCCGGGCCAGUAACGUCUGCUCGUCUGCUCGGAGGAGACGGGCAAGUAGAAAGGUCACCUCUCUGUGCCGCUGACCUCAGUUACCUCGGUGGCUGCCGGCUUCUCUCCUGUUCUCCGUCUCCCUCCACCUCCCUCCCCUGCUUCCCUCCCUCCUGUUGUCCCACCUGCCGUGGCUCCUUCUCCGCUUUCAUUCUCUAGGAUCCAUUUAGGAAAAGUAAUUACAAUCGCACCAGUCGCUGGAGCCAGGGCUUCUCCGAGAUCCCCGGACCACGGUGUGAGGACCACGCAGACGGGGCCCCUGGGGCCUCUGGUCUUCACGGGGACGGACCGCAGCAGGCGCUGGUAGCGGGUGCAAAUCCCGAGCGUCUGGCCGGCCUCCGGCUGGAGGCGCUCACCUCCCCUCCCCACUGCAGGACUGCUGACCUUCGGGGGCUCCCCGGGGUCUGCUGGAGGAUGGCCAUGAGGGGAGGGAGCUGGCCGGCCCGCCGCCCUCUGCACUGGGGCUCACCCUGUGGCUCCAUGGGACGAGGCCGAGGGCGCCCCCGGCUGCGGAGCCGUCGGGCCUGGCCUGAGGCCCUUACCCCGGGUGCACGUGGGUCCCCCCUGCCCCCCCACUCCCUCCUCUACUUCCUUAGGGGCAGAGCCUGGCCUGAUGUCUGGGGAAGCAGCAGAAUUGCUGCGGCCGGCCAGGAAGGCCCGAGAGUAAGAUGCUGCAGUGAAGAAGGCCACACGGAAGCCUCUGAAGCUUUCCCAUUGUGAUCAAGAGGGUAGAUGGAAAACAACACCACAUCUUAACCCUGCAAGGGUCGUGGUCUCCAUCACGUCCUCAUCUAAUUCGCCAUUCUUCCUUGGUCAAAACCAGAGAUCCUGGUUAUCGAGAGUGGACCAACCACCAUCAGGUCAGCUAAUUAUCUGACGCUCCUACCGCCGCUACUGAGCAUCUGAACUUGUAGCAAGAGAAAUCAAGACCGAGGCCUCAAUACAACACCCUUCCCUGCAGAGACCAACUAGUUACUUGUCAGCAACUUGACUACCGGGAUCCUUUUGGAUGUGAAAAGUGACACUGAUGUAUCUUGGCCGGAACUGGGACCUAUUCGAGAAAUCGAGAAAUGACUUUCCCUCUUCUGCCCACAGGGAGUUCGCCAGCACGACCCUCUAUGAGUUUAUGAGAUUAUGUGAUAAACGGAUGUGCAGUCCUGAAUAAUGUUACCCUGGACCAAGUAUCCCAGUGGAUAGCAAGAGAGGAGCUACGGUGGGCCCAAGUCCUUCAGUUAAUGCAAAUGCUUUAUACUUUAGUGCGGUACCAGUAGUUUGUUUUUGCUUUUGUUUUGCUUGCCUGAGAAGACGCAUCUGGAAAAAUGUUUCUAUGGCUGAUGUCAAAGAAAUUACUGCCUAGGUUUCCUUCUAGGGGUUUUC
This is a long non-coding RNA of Canis lupus familiaris (dog), 2117 nucleotides long. RefSeq lists it as uncharacterized. NCBI's taxonomy places the organism in Eukaryota, Metazoa, Chordata, Mammalia, Carnivora, Canidae. The record is from RefSeq and is a predicted model, not a curated record. The transcript has 3 exons.